This 503-nucleotide ribosomal RNA is filed under the name Syllis pulvinata. RNAcentral describes it as "partial 16S ribosomal RNA". It matches the Rfam family "Bacterial large subunit ribosomal RNA", at positions 1796 to 2607 of the family's 2925-position model. The record is from RNAcentral. Lineage: Eukaryota; Metazoa; Annelida; Polychaeta; Phyllodocida; Syllidae.
UCGCCUGUUUUAUCAAAAACAUUGCCACCAGAUCAAUUAUUGGGGGUAACUCUGCCCAGUGACAAAUUUCAACGGCCGCGGUACUUUGACCGUGCAAAGGUAGCACAAUAAUGAGCCUCUUAAUUAGGGGAUAGAAUGAAUGAAUCAACGAAAAGUCAACUGUCUCAUAGAUAUUUCUAAAAUUUAUAAAUGGGUGAAAAAGCCCAUAUAUCAAUUAAAGACAAGAAGUCCCUAUAAGCUUUCUUAAAAUUAAACAAUACCAGUUAAAUAUUAUUUAGUUGGGGCGACUAAAAGAACUAAACACUUACCACCGACAGAGAUAAUACCUCACAUCAAAUAUCCAAACAAACUCAAGCAAGUUACUAUAGGGAUAACAGGCUAAUUCUUUCCAAGAGUACAUAUCAACGAAGGAGUUUGGCACCUCGAUGUUGGCUUAGGGUUACUAUUUCAUGCAGAAGUGAAAUAAGUGGGUUUGUUCAACCUUUAAAUCCCUACAUGAUCUG